RNAcentral lists this ribosomal RNA (450 nucleotides) under uncultured bacterium. Its description in RNAcentral is "partial 16S ribosomal RNA". It matches the Rfam family "Bacterial small subunit ribosomal RNA", at positions 354 to 796 of the family's 1533-position model. The record is from RNAcentral.
GUGGGGAAUAUUCCGCAAUGGACGAAAGUCUGACGGAGCAACGCCGCGUGAGUGAUGAAGGUUUUCGGACUGUAAAGCUCUGUUGUUUAGGACGAAAGUGCCUGUUGCAAAUAGUUACAGGUAUUGACGGUACUGAACGAGGAAGCCACGGCUAACUACGUGCCAGCAGCCGCGGUAAUACGUAGGUGGCAAGCGUUGUCCGGAAUUAUUGGGCGUAAAGAGCAUGUAGGCGGGAAUCUAAGUCUGUUGUGAAAAUGCGGGGCUCAACCCCGUAUUGCGAUGGAAACUGGGUUUCUUUAGUGGAGGAGAGGAAAGGGGAAUUCCCAGUGUAGCGGUGAAAUGCGUAGAUAUUGGGAGGAACACCAGUGGCGAAGGCGCCUUUCUGGACUGUGUCUGACGCUGAGAUGCGAAAGCCAGGGUAGCGAACGGGAUUAGAAACCCUGGUAGUCC